AGGAAGUCAAAAAAGUACCGCCUGCC
Molecule: small RNA, 26 nt
Filed under: Bombyx mori (domestic silkworm)
Lineage: Eukaryota; Metazoa; Arthropoda; Insecta; Lepidoptera; Bombycidae
Description: ovarian small RNA-4554
Source: RNAcentral